AGUGGCGUCGUGUUGUCGGCGGUGGCGCUGCAGCGGCGCUGGUACGAGCUGAAGCUGGACACGCGGCAACGCGUAUGUGCCCCCCGCGUGGCGGGCACCCCUCGCCCGCUCUUGGUGCCGAUACACGAGGCCGUCGCGAACAGGUACCCUCACGUGGUGCACUCCAGAGAGCUGUCGACGUGGCGCGACCUGGUGGCGGCGGGGAACGUUCCCGAACCCACGAGCGAGCGCGGGCCGGCGCCGGGCGAGCCUCGUGCGCACGCCGC
Long non-coding RNA from Cydia amplana, 266 nucleotides. RefSeq lists it as uncharacterized. Lineage: Eukaryota; Metazoa; Arthropoda; Insecta; Lepidoptera; Tortricidae. The record is from RefSeq and is a predicted model, not a curated record. The transcript has 3 exons.